Molecule: ribosomal RNA, 187 nt
Filed under: uncultured Staphylococcus sp.
Lineage: Bacteria; Bacillati; Bacillota; Bacilli; Caryophanales; Staphylococcaceae
Description: partial 16S ribosomal RNA
Rfam family: Bacterial small subunit ribosomal RNA
Source: RNAcentral
AAACCGGAGCUAAUACCGGAUAAUAUAUUGAACCGCAUGGUUCAAUAGUGAAAGACGGUUUUGCUGUCACUUAUAGAUGGAUCCGCGCCGCAUUAGCUAGUUGGUAAGGUAACGGCUUACCAAGGCAACGAUGCGUAGCCGACCUGAGAGGGGUGAUCGGCCACACUGGAACUGAGACACGGUCCAG